UACGUAGGGGGCUAGCGUUGUCCGGAAUCAUUGGGCGUAAAGAGCUCGUAGGCGGUUUCGUAAGUCGGGUGUGAAAACUCUAGGCUCAACCUAGAGACGCCACCCGAUACUGCGAUGACUAGAGUCCGGUAGGGGAGUGUGGAAUUCCUGGUGUAGCGGUGAAAUGCGCAGAUAUCAGGAGGAACACCAACGGCGAAGGCAGCACUCUGGGCCGGAACUGACGCUGAGGAGCGAAAGCGUGGGUAGCGAACAGG
This 254-nucleotide ribosomal RNA is filed under the name uncultured bacterium. RNAcentral describes it as "partial 16S ribosomal RNA". It matches the Rfam family "Bacterial small subunit ribosomal RNA", at positions 524 to 776 of the family's 1533-position model. The record is from RNAcentral.